UGCACCUUCAGUGCACACUCCUGCCUGAUUCAGGUCCCCAAACAAUGAGCUGUGCAGGCCUUGUGUCCCAUCCUGCUGCACCACCAGGGCAGAGAAGCUAAUUUCAUAGCCCCACCUAAUGCUGAGUAUAGUAUCCAGUCCCAACUGUCUAGUAACAUCACAGAAUCCAAGCAACCAUGAAGCCCAUCCUACAGCCUCACUUGGGUGGGAGGGUAACCAAGCCAACAGUCCUACCAGGCUAUCUCAGCCAAUGACCCUCGCCUCCCCCUCAGUGCUCAAACAGAUGCUUUGCCCAAAAAUAGACCACCUAAGUACAUAAAGCAAAAACUAGCAGAGCUAAAAGGAGAAAUAAAAGCAAUAAAGUAAUAGUUGGGGACUUUAAUACCCCACUCUAGACAAUGGGUAGAUCAUCUAGGGAGAGAAUCAAUAAGGAAAUAGCAAAUUCGAACCACACUAUAUACCAAAUGUACUAACAGACAUAUACAGAACAUUCUGUUCAUCAACAGCAGAAUACACAUUCUGAAGUGGACAUGAACAUUUUCUAGGAUACACCAUAUGUUAGGCCACAGAACAAGCCAGUAAAUUCAAGAAGAUUGAAAUCAUACCAGGUAUAUUCUCUGACCACAAUGGUAUGAAACUAGAAAUCAAUAACAAGAGGAAAACUGGAAAAGUCACAAACAUACGGAAUGAAAACUCUCGUGAACAACCAAUGGAUCAAAGAAGAAAUUAAAGGGGAUAUAAAGAGUAUCUUGAGAUGAACGAAAAUGGAAACACAACAAAACAAAACUUACGGGAUGCAUCAAAAGCAAUUCUAAGAGGGAAGUUCACAGCAAUAAAUGCCUACAUUAAGAAGCAAGAAAGAUCCCAUAUAAACAUCCUAACUACGCCUUAGGGAACUAGAAAAAGAAGAGCUGAGCCUUAAGUUAGCAGAAGGAAAUAGCAAAGAUUAGAGCAGAAAUAAAUAGAGAGUACGAAAACAACAGAAAAGAUUAACCAAACUAAGACUUGGUUCUUUGAAAAGGUAAACCAAGGAAAAAAGAAAGGACCCAAAUCAACAAAAUUGUAAAUGAAAAAGGAGACAUUACAACUGAUAGCACAGAAAUAAAGAAUUGUAAGAGGGUACUAUGCAAAACUAUAUGCCAACAAACUGGACACCCUAGAAGAAAUGCAAAAUUCUUAGAAACAUACUAUCAAGAGUGAAUCAGGACAAAAUAGAAAGUCUGAAUAGACCAAUUAUAGUAAAGAGAUUGAAUUAGUAAUCAAAAAUCUCUCACAGAGGAAAAGCCCAGGACCAGAGGGCUUCAACUGGUGAAUUUCACAAAAUAUCUUAAGAAAAAUUAAUGCCAGUCUUUCCCAAAAAAUUGAAGAGGAGGGAACACUCCCAAAACUCAUUUUAUGAAGCCAGCAUCACUGAUAGCAAAGCUGGAAAAGAACAUUACCAAAAAAGGAAACUACAGACCAAUAUCCCUGAUGAACAGAGAUGUAAAAAUUUGCAAUAAAAUACUAGCAAAUUGAAAUCAGCAGCACAUUAAAAGGAUCAUUCACCAUGAUCAACUGGGAUUUAUACCUGGCAUGCAAGGAAAAAAUUAUCUGAUUAGAUGCAGAAAAAGCAUUUGACAAAGUUCAACAUUCAUUCAUGAUAAAAACUCUCAACAAAUUAGGUAUACAAGGAAUAUACUUCAACAUAAUAAAGGCCAAAAGGGAUAAGCCCACAGGUAAUAUCAUACUGUUGAAAGGCUGAAAGCUUUUCCACUAAUUUCAGGAACAAGAUAAGGGUGCCCACUCUGACCACUUCUACUCAACAAAGUAGACCACAAAGUAGACCAAAGUAGAAGGAAAAGAAACAAAAGGUAUCAGAAUUUGAAAGGAAGAAGUAAAACUGUCUCUGUAUGUAGAUGACAUGUUUUUAUACAUAGAAAAUUCUAAAGACUCCACGAAAAAAAUCUGUUAGAUCUAAUUAACAAAUUCAGUAAAGUUGUAGGAUACAAAAGCAACAUAAAAAGUCAAUGGCAUUUCUAUAUACUAACAAUGAAAUUAUCUGAAAAAGAAAUAAAAUGAUCCCAUUUACAAGAGCAUCAAAAACAAUAAAAUACUUAGGAAUAAACCUAACCAAGGAGGUGAAACAUCUCUACUUUGAAAACUACAAGACACUGAUGAAAGAAAUCAAAGAAGACACAAAUAAAUGGAAAGGCAUCCUGUGUUCAUGGAUUGGAAGAAUAUUGUUAAAAUGAUCAUACUACCAAAAGCCACUUAUACAUUCAGUGCAAUUCCCAUCAAGAUUCCAGUGGCAUUUUUUAAAGUAGUAAAAACAAUCCUAAAAUUUAUAUGGAACCACAAAAGACACAGAAUAACCAAAGCAAUACUGAGAAAGGAGAACGAAGCGGGAGGCAUCACACUUCCUGAUUUCAAGCUAUCCUAUAAAGCUAUAGUAAUCGAAACAGUAUGGUACUGGUAUAAAAACAAAUAGAUCAAUGGAACAAAAUUAUGAGCCCAGAAAUGAACCCAAGCAUAUAUGGUCAACUAAUAUUUGACAAGGGAACCAAGAAUACUCAGUGGAGAAAAGAUGGUCUCUUCCAUAAAUGGUGCUGCAAAAAUUGGAUAGUCAUAUGUAAAAGAAUGAAAUGACCACUAUCUUAUACCACUACCCAAAAUGAACUCAAAAUGAUUAAGACCUAAAUGUACAACCUGAAACCAUGAAACUACUAGAAGAAAACAGAAAAAAGGCUCACCGGCAUGUGUCCUGGCAGUGAUUUUUGGAUAUGACAUCUAAAGCACAAGCAACAAAAUAAAAAAUAAGUAAGUAGAACUACAUCACAUUAAAAAGCUUCUGCACAGCCAAAGAAUAAUCGACAAAGUGAAAAGACAACCUAUGGAAUGGAAAAACAUAUUUGCAAACCAUAUAUCUGACAAGGGGUUAAUAUUCAAACUAUAUAAAGAACUCAUACAAUUCUACAGCAAAAAAAAAAAAAUCCAAUUAAAACAUGGGUAAAAGACUUGAGUAGACAUUUUUCUCAAAGAAGAUAUAUAAAAGGGUCAACAGGUAUAUGAAAAGAUGCUCAGCAUCACUGGUCAUUAGGGAAAUGCAAAUCAAAACCAAACCAUAAUGAGAUAUCACCUCACAUCUGGUAGGAUGGCCAACAUCAAAAAGACAAGCAAUACGAAAUGCUGGUGAUAAUGUGAAUUUAAGAGGACUCUUGUGUACUGUUAAUGGGAUCAUAAACUGGUACAGCUACUAUGGAAAACAGUACGGAGGACACUCAAAAAAUUAAAAAUAGAACUACCAUAUGAUCCAGAAAUUCUACUUGUGGGAAUACAAAGUAAAUGAAAACACUAAUUCGAAAAGGUAAUCUGUACCCCUUCAUGUUCAUAGCAGCAUUAUUUAAAAUAGCCAAAACAUGGAAACAACCUAACUGUCCACCAGCAGAUGAAUGAAUAAAGAAGCACACACACCAUGGAAUAGUAUUCAGACAUAAAAAAUGAGGAAAUUCUGCCUUUUGCCGACAAUGAAUGGGCCUUGAGGGCAUUAUGCUAAGUCAGAGAAAAACAAAUACUGUGUGAUUUCACUUAUAUGUGUAAUCUAAAACAAACAAACGAACAAACCAAAGUUAGAGAAAAAGAGAUCAGAUUUGUGGUUAACCUGAGGUGGAGGUGGGGUUGGGGAAUUGGAGAAAGGUGGUCAAAAGGUACAAACUUUCUGUAGCAGGGAAUACCUUGUUAAUGAUACUUAGGAUAAGUUGUAAUAGCUUUUGCAUUUUUAUAACAUAACUCACUUCAUACCACUCUUGUAGUUGAUUAUCAACUCUAGAAACUUCUUUGCCUCAUGUUGAGGAUGAGACUUUAAUUUCUUCCAUUUGGCAGUAUACAUCUACAAAAAUAAAUAACAAAUUAAAAAAAAUAACACAGUAACUAUAGCAAACAGAACUAUGCAUUUAUUUUAAAAAGCAAAUACUAUAAAUCUUUGAUAUUUUAAAAUUUAGUUCUUUAAUGUGAAUGUUUUCCACAUCAGACACAAAAUCUUUUUUCAGCCCCACACCAAAUAUUUUACAAAACAUAAUUUAAGCAUAUGUUCAUUUAGACUACUUAUAAGUUAACCUAACACUGAAAUUUAUUUAAAAAAGGUUACCUUUAUUGCUUAUUAAAACUUUAUUGUGCUGGACAGAGCCUUAAAAGAGCACGGCCAAUCCAACAAGGCUAAAAUCUCUAACAGUAUAUUCUCAUUUUAAAUCAAACAUCGAUCAAGGAACUGUUUUAUUUAGAGCAGUUGGUUUAAACCAAUGUAAAACUGACUCAAGACAGAUUACUUCCCAACUAGUAAUAUUUAGCGCUCAAGUGAUUUAUUAUUGAUUUUCUGGAAAAUUUAAUAAUAUGAAGUAGGUAAGCAUUUUGAUCAUGACUCAGCAGUCAACAAAGCAACUUUUUUAGAAUAAAGGAAGGUGAAGAGAAGGGAAAACCUGGCAUAGGUUUUUAUUCUUUAAGAGCACAUGAUUAGUUUACUUUCCGUAAAAAUGAAUCUGAGCUGUCCUUCAAUUUAAGCACAUAUGAAUUAUGAUCAGACUUACCUGUCAAUCUCUAUUUCAAUAUAAAUUUCCUAGUCUAGAAUUAUUCCUAGAAAAUCUUCCAACUUUGAAACAUUAUGUUUAGCACGUAUCACAUUUAUUCAGAAAACUUUCUUCUAUUUUUGAGAUGUUAGCCUUUAAAUUUCUACCCGUGACAAACCCCUACUCUGAAUUAUCUAAUAACUCCUCAGCUUUUCUGUACUAUUGCGACUUCCAUCUAGUCUUCUAUUAUGUGUUAAAGUAAAAUCAGAAUCUGCUUUGGCAGGCUUUUUUUUCUUCCUCUGGCACUGUUUCUCCAAUAUAGCCAAUUUUAAGAAGAAAAUAAUAUAUCCAUAAGAUUAAUGAAAAGUCACUAAAAUUUUUAUUGUAGUAACAGAACCAAAAUGCAUACAUAUUCAAAUGCAGACUAUUGUCCGUCCUGGAUGACUUAUAUGACCUAUUAUCUGACCUGAUUUGUCGGUUAAAUGUAGGUAAUGAUGAUCAGACUCCUCUUAUUAAUGACUGGGUUGUAAGGAGGUUAUCUAAAAAAUUAAUUUUAAAAGGAGAAACCAAGGUAUGUUAACUGGUACAGAAUGAAACUGGGAUAGUUCAAGUUUAAAGAAUAAAAAACAUUGAGAUGAAUUACUUAUGUGAUUAUGUAGAAGAGAUCUACUAUAUAAGAAAAUGACUUUUUUUUUUUUUUUUUUUUUGGUGAAGGAAAAGGUAGAUAAGUACCUAAACAUCUAGACCAUGUUUGAGUCAUCGUUGUAUAGUAUUUCCACAGCGCCUCAUUCUUAGUAGGGGCUUAAUAAAAUUAGGAGAUCAAAUGAAUUAAUGGCUGUGGUCUGCUGGCCUCUUGUUCUGGGCUCAGCCUGGUUUCUCAGAAAGCUUCCUGAUUGUUUGCAGAAGAUUGGGACUACCGUGUCCUCCACUGUGGUGACUGCUGGGAAAGCUGAAGCUUCUGUGACCACUACAGUAAGGAAAGAUUCCUGAAUACCCAGAAGACUGCCACAAAUUUGCAACACUUACCUCAGUUAUCUCAUCUACACAUCCAGAAUAAUAAUACCUUCCUCGUCUGGUCAUUUUGAAGAUUAAAUGGCAUGCCCUUAGCACAGUACCAGGAAGACAGGUGACUGAGGUGUACUUUUCUGCAUUUUGGCUCUGUUUCCCUGCGUUAUCCAGUAACACAAGCUUUUAAAGUUGUUGAGGUGGGAGCUAGUCUUUGCCACCAGGUCAUUCCUAAAACAAGAUAGAUGGAGAGGAAAACAGAAGAGUGUCCUGAGAUCAGGUGAGAGCAUGAACAAAGAUACGGUGGUAGAAAAAACAACAUGACAUGAGAGAACAUAAGGGGAAAAUGGAAAAUUAAAAUGGAUGAUCUAAAAUAUAAGCGAGAGAAAUUUGGCAUUUCUCAUUCCUAGGGGUUCAUUGCAGGUCCUGGAGCAGAGAAAUGUUAUCACAGAGUGGUAUUUUAGGAAGAUCAUUCUGUCAGUGCUGAGCAGGAAGGAGAAACCCUAAAGUCAGAGGACUGGUCAGAAAGUUAUUGGAAUAAUCCUGAUGUGAGAUGGAAAAGAGACACAGCAGAAAUUCAUUUUAAAGGAAGAAAUGACAAAAGAGACUACUGAGGAAUAUGUCAACUAAUAUGGUAUACUCCCCACACCAGCUGAGAGAAAGGAACUAAUUACAGUUUAAACUCUACAUAAGUAGCUAUCAAAUACUGAAAAAAAAUUCAUUUAAGCCAAUAUCAUACUGAGAAAAUAUGCAAACAAUUUCUACUGGUUAUAUGCUUAGGCAUAAAACAUUAUGCUUAAUAUAAAGUAUUCUACAUGUUAUAUAGCACAAUAGCUAUAACGACAGUAUUAUGCUUAAAGCUGGCUGAACAAACACUAGUAAGAACACUUCAUUAAAAAUAGCCAUGCAAUAGCCUGAAGACUCAAACCUUCUAGAAUACAAUUUACCUAUAGUGGAGCAUGAAAUUGGCUGUGCAUUGCUAUCACUUGUUGAAGUUUUUCUUCCUUGGCUCUUCUACAGUGGCAAAUCUAGAAGACAAAUUAUUUAAAAUACCAGUCACUUCUCCAGUAAUCUUCCUACUACUAGCUAAAUUUGACAGAAUUCUAAGUAAGAAUCUUUUAACUUGUUGACAUUAUUUAAACUGUCGAUGUCUGAGGUAGAGCAGAAUUUAAGAAUCAAAACGAAAAAAAUUUUAAUUUUGUUUGGAAGAUAAUCUUUGUAAACUUCCAGAAUGUAAAACGCACUCUGAUCCUUUAUACCAGUUCUCUGAUUAUAUAAUUUCAAAUAUCUGUGUUUUAAAAAUAUGAAAAUAAAUCCUACUGUUGUUACCCAGGAAGCUUAACAAAUAAAAACUUCGGGGCUUCCCUGGUGGCACUGUGGUUAAGAAUCCGCCUGCCAAUGUAGGGGACACAGGUUUGAGCCCUGGUCCGGGAAGAUCCCACGUGCCGCGGAGCAACUAAGCCCGUGAACCACAACUACUGAGCCUGAGCUCUAGAGCCCAUGACCCACAACUACUGAAGCCUGCGUGCCUAGAGCCCGUGCUCCGCAACAAAGAGUAGCCCCACUUGCCACAACUAGAGAAAGCCUCCGCACAGCAAUGAAGACCCAACGCAGCUAAAAAUAAAUCAAUUGAAACAAAAACAAAAAAAACUUCAAGAUACAGUUAAAUAGUACCGAAGAAAAAUGGACCCAAAAUCGACGCUUCACUAAUGCUAUAACCAUAGUCAUUAAUAUCUCUGUACUUCAAAUUUUCUCAUGGAAAACAGGGAUAAUAAAAUCUGCCACACUUUCCUUAACAGUUCAUAUAUAUAUAUAUAUAUAUAUAUAUAUAUGGCACACCUGUUUUAUAACGUUUAACAAAAGGUUAUUUUAAAACUGUGAUGUUUCAGAGAAAUUAGGUAAAUAUUUAGGACUCUAUCAAAGGACAAGAUACUGCUAAGCAGACUUAAAAUUUUUUUCUUUAAAUAUAAUGAAGGGCUUCCCUGGUGGCGCAGUGGUUGAGAGUCUGCCUGCGGAUGCAGGGGACGCGGGUUUGUGCCCCGUUCCGGGAGGAUCCCACAUGCCGGAGCGGCUGGGCCCGUGAGCCAUGGCCACUGAGCCUGCGCGUCCGGAGCCUGUGCUCCGCAACGGGAGAGGCCACAACAGUGAGAGGCCCGCGUACCACAAAAAAAAAAAAAAAAAAAAAAAAAAAAAAAUAUAUAUAUAUAUAUAUAUAUAUAUAUAAAA
This is a long non-coding RNA of Orcinus orca (killer whale), 7769 nucleotides long. RefSeq lists it as uncharacterized. Lineage: Eukaryota; Metazoa; Chordata; Mammalia; Artiodactyla; Delphinidae. The transcript has 2 exons. The record is from RefSeq and is a predicted model, not a curated record.